Molecule: non-coding RNA, 263 nt
Organism: Salvia hispanica
Lineage: Eukaryota; Viridiplantae; Streptophyta; Magnoliopsida; Lamiales; Lamiaceae
Source: RefSeq, a predicted model, not a curated record
UGGUAAACCAUUGAGGGCAUGCUUUGGGACCACAAAAUACUGUCAUGCAUGGCUGAGAAAUAUGCCUUGCAGCAACCCAGAUUGUCUGUAUUUGCAUGACAUUGGCUCACAAGACGAUAGUUUUACGAAGGAUGAAGUCAUAUCUGAACACACAAGGAGUAGAAUCCAACAAGUCACCAGUUCCUCAAUUAGUAUCCAACGGCGUUCAGGAAACGUAUUACCUCCUCCAGGAGAUGAUUACUGCAAUAAUAACAGCUCGACGC